Molecule: non-coding RNA, 212 nt
Organism: Peromyscus maniculatus bairdii (prairie deer mouse)
Lineage: Eukaryota; Metazoa; Chordata; Mammalia; Rodentia; Cricetidae
Source: RefSeq, a predicted model, not a curated record
GAAAGGCUUCAUCCAGUAACUGAUGGAAACAGAUGCAGACUCAUAGCCAAACAUUAGAUUCCAGAAUCCAGAUCCUAACAAAGGUGAAGUCUCAAUAAAAUCUAUUAUUGCUACUUCCAUCAUCAUCUAGUAGGUUCCACAGUCUUUGGACUCUGCUAGCAAGGAAAUCAUUACCAUAGGGCUUAUGCCUUGUGCCUCUAGAACUGUGAGCC